UGCAUUCUCUUCACAAUGCUAUUCAUGUUUGUAUUUGAUUUUCUAGAUCUAGGUGCCUUAUUAGAAGCCUCCAAUUUGUGCCAUUAUCACUUUUAUCUUCCACUUAGUUUCAUGUUGUUUGGUGGUGUCUGAACCUUGGAAUUACCCAUUUCUGCUGCAUUGUAGGAAUAUGAGUAAUGUAUUGAAUGCGAGGGACUAAUUUUCCAUUUGCAGACCACAGCUGAAGCAGCAGAUCAUUGUCAUUAGGAACUGACAUGUUGUGUGCAACUGAAGUAUAGAAGCCUCAAAAGAACCAGCUCCUACUACCAACAUCACCCAGCCAACUAGUACAAAAGAUGGACUCUGUUGCAAGUUCUAUUAUCAAUAUUAUUUCCACCUUUUAAGUUCUGAACAUGAAGAACAUCUUUGUUGUUAUUUGCUGCAAAUUUAUUUAUUUAUUUAUUAUAUAUUUGUGGAUCUUUUUUUGACCGGAUUAAGUGGGCCUGGGUUGUAUUAUUAGAGUGGUUCUUUCACCUGCAACAUUAUAAAUAAAGUGGUGUAGAGAGAUCUUUCUACACUUUUUCUUC
This is a long non-coding RNA of Magnolia sinica, 566 nucleotides long. RefSeq lists it as uncharacterized. The transcript has 2 exons. Lineage: Eukaryota; Viridiplantae; Streptophyta; Magnoliopsida; Magnoliales; Magnoliaceae. The record is from RefSeq and is a predicted model, not a curated record.